Molecule: transfer RNA, 75 nt
Filed under: Clostridiales bacterium
Lineage: Bacteria; Bacillati; Bacillota; Clostridia; Eubacteriales
Also listed under: 2 other names
Description: tRNA-Thr
Rfam family: tRNA
About the family: Transfer RNA (tRNA) molecules are approximately 80 nucleotides in length. Their secondary structure includes four short double-helical elements and three loops (D, anti-codon, and T loops).
Source: RNAcentral
GCUGAUGUGGCUCAGAGGUAGAGCAGCGCACUCGUAAUGCGCAGGUCGUGGGUUCAAUUCCCACCAUCAGCUCCA